Long non-coding RNA from Ictalurus punctatus (channel catfish), 1574 nucleotides. RefSeq lists it as uncharacterized. The transcript has 3 exons. The record is from RefSeq and is a predicted model, not a curated record. Lineage: Eukaryota; Metazoa; Chordata; Actinopteri; Siluriformes; Ictaluridae.
UUCACGCUAAAACACGGGAGUUACAGUGUUCCAGGGUUCGAUCCUGAGCUCCAGAGUCUGUAUGGAGUUUAAUAUGUUCUCUUUGUGUCUGCGCAGGUUUCCUCUGGGUUCUCCGGUUUCCUCUCAACACAUGCCAAGAGCCUACUCUGCUCUGAUUGGUCAGAUAUCCCAGGCUGUUGUGAUGACAGUGCGUGUUGGAAAGGAAACGCCCACUACCGUAUACGAGUUGACCAUGUCGGUUUUACCUGAUCAGUUUGAGCCAGAGUCCGAUAACGAUGCACCGGAAGAUCAACCCGAACCACCACCGUAAUCACGACGAGAACAGGACGUUCCUCAGUGGUUGUGAUCCAGAGGCACAAGACGGUCCAAAUAAAGUGGGUACGGCCAACGUCUUCUAGACAUAAACCUAUCUCUUUCGAGACGCAACAUCAACCGUAGUGUUUGCGAGCGGCCAAUGAACACCAAAGACGGGGUUGCUGUUACCGACCUACGUAGGUUCAUACAGGAAGUAAGUCUGGAAUUACUGACGAUUCGUUUCAGAAUCGGUUCUGUCUUUUGGGAGCCUAGAGGUCUGUUUUUGAAACUUUUUAGACUUUUUACAUUCACGAACAGGUGCACUUUAAUUCCGGUCCACGAGAGCUAACAUGCUAGCUAGCUUUAGCCUAGCUGUGUUUAUUCAGAGCUUGUUGUUCAUCACCGGCAAAUGAACUGCUGCUAGUUUGGGUUUCAUUCUCAUGGAAGUGAGAAAAAACAAACAAACUAGCCAAUUCUAAACAAGAAAAAACAUUCCAUUUAUAGUAUCCAAAGGACGUCCGGAAUGUGCUGAAGGAUCCAUUUUUGGUUUAAAUGGAUCUUUAAAGGAUUUCUAAAGCUGUUAAUAUAAAUACACUACACAGCUUCUAUUGAAUAUAUUAUGCUCUUCGAAAUGGAGUCAAGGCUUGCAAAUCUAUGAGGGACAGGAUGGGCAAAUAAUUAUAUUUGUGUGUAUAGGAAUGAGGUUAACUUGUUUAAUAAAACCCCCACCCCACCCAUUAUUGACUGAUCCAAUUUGUUGUUUGCAUUAUAUUUAAAUAUAGGUGGAAGAGUCCAAGUCCUUGGAAGGGGGGAGGACAUUGUAUUUGGCUGAAUGCUCUGGGAAAGAAGCUUCUUGUCAAUCAAUGAGUCUUAGACCAACAAACUGAUCUGCAGAAUCCCGAGGACUAAAGGCUAAUGUGGCUAACAAGAAAGGGAGGCUUCUAGCCGGCAGUUUGGCGUUGUUUAUGGAGGGAGGGAGGAAGUAACACGGCAUAAUUAUAGGUCGGGUUUUGAAGUUGACUUUUACUCCAUCGACUUUAGAAAAAGAAAUGAAGAAAAAGCUCUAUUUUCCACACAUUAAACUUUCACUUUUUUGCUACGUACACUUUGUAUUUAUUUAUCGAUCGUCACAGUUAGCUAUUAUCAUUAAGCUAGUUCGUAUGGUCAGGAGUUAUUGUCAUGCUAGCUAGCAUUUGAGAGAUUGGGAAUAAAGUCGUUGUUAGCUCGCGUCAGCGAAUGUUUUAGUAUGUUCCGUCUCUUUCACCCGACAGAAACUAACA